Molecule: non-coding RNA, 58 nt
Organism: Eimeria brunetti
Lineage: Eukaryota; Apicomplexa; Conoidasida; Eucoccidiorida; Eimeriidae
Source: Rfam
UGGAUAGAAUGCCCGGCUACGGACCGGGUGGUCGUGGGUUCGAAUCCUGCUCGGCCUA